Molecule: ribosomal RNA, 468 nt
Filed under: uncultured bacterium
Lineage: Bacteria
Description: partial 16S ribosomal RNA
Rfam family: Bacterial small subunit ribosomal RNA
Source: RNAcentral
GACGAACGCUGGCGGCGUGCUUAACACAUGCAAGUCGAACGGAAAGGCCCUGCUUUUGUGGGGUGCUCGAUUGGCGAACGGGUGAGUAACACGUGAGUAACCUGCCCUUGACUUUGGGAUAACUUCAGGAAACUGGGGCUAAUACCGGAUAGGAGCUCCUGCUGCAUGGUGGGGGUUGGAAAGUUUCGGCGGUUGGGGAUGGACUCGCGGCUUAUCAGCUUGUUGGUGGGGUAGUGGCUUACCAAGGCUUUGACGGGUAGCCGGCCUGGGAGGGUGACCGGCCACAUUGGGACUGAGAUACGGCGCAGACUCCUACGGGAGGCAGCAGUGGGGAAUAUUGCACAAUGGGCGGAAGCCUGAUGCAGCAACGCCGCGUGCGGGAUGACGGCCUUCGGGUUGUAAACCGCUUUCGCCUGUGACGAAGCGUGAGUGACGGUAAUGGGUAAAGAAGCACCGGCUAACUACGUG